GACGAACGCUGGCGGCGUGCCUAAUACAUGCAAGUCGAGCGGACGUUUUUGAAGCUUGCUUCAAAAACGUUAGCGGCGGACGGGUGAGUAACACGUGGGCAACCUGCCUUAUCGACUGGGAUAACUCCGGGAAACCGGGGCUAAUACCGGAUAACAUCUAGCACCUCCUGGUGCCAGAUUAAAAGAGGGCCUUCGGGCUCUCACGGUGAGAUGGGCCCGCGGCGCAUUAGCUAGUUGGAGAGGUAAUGGCCCCCCAAGGCGACGAUGCGUAGCCGACCUGGGAGGGGGAUCGGCCACACUGGGACUGAGACACGGCCCAGACUCCUACGGGAGGCAGCAGUAGGGAAUCUUCCGCAAUGGACGAAAGUCUGACGGAGCAACGCCGCGUGAGUGAUGAAGGGUUUCGGCUCGUAAAGCUCUGUUAUGAGGGAAGAACACGUACCGUUCGAAUAGGGCGGUACCUUGACGGUACCUCAUCAGAAAGCCACGGCUAACUACGUGCCAGCAGCCGCCGUAA
This 517-nucleotide ribosomal RNA is filed under the name uncultured bacterium. Its description in RNAcentral is "partial 16S ribosomal RNA". It matches the Rfam family "Bacterial small subunit ribosomal RNA", at positions 28 to 523 of the family's 1533-position model. The record is from RNAcentral.